This 506-nucleotide ribosomal RNA is filed under the name uncultured bacterium. RNAcentral's name for it is "bacterial SSU rRNA". It matches the Rfam family "Bacterial small subunit ribosomal RNA", at positions 9 to 504 of the family's 1533-position model. The record is from RNAcentral.
GAGUUUGAUCCUGGCUCAGAUUGAACGCUGGCGGCAGGCCUAACACAUGCAAGUCGAACGGUAACAGGAAGAAGCUUGCUUCUUUGCUGACGAGUGGCGGACGGGUGAGUAAUGUCUGGGAAACUGCCUGAUGGAGGGGGAUAACUACUGGAAACGGUAGCUAAUACCGCAUAACGUCGCAAGACCAAAGAGGGGGACCUUCGGGCCUCUUGCCAUCGGAUGUGCCCAGAUGGGAUUAGCUAGUAGGUGGGGUAACGGCUCACCUAGGCGACGAUCCCUAGCUGGUCUGAGAGGAUGACCAGCCACACUGGAACUGAGACACGGUCCAGACUCCUACGGGAGGCAGCAGUGGGGAAUAUUGCACAAUGGGCGCAAGCCUGAUGCAGCCAUGCCGCGUGUAUGAAGAAGGCCUUCGGGUUGUAAAGUACUUUCAGCGGGGAGGAAGGGAGUAAAGUUAAUACCUUUGCUCAUUGACGUUACCCGCAGAAGAAGCACCGGCUAACUCC